UGCAGGCUGCAACCCGCCUGUAUGAAGUUGGAAUCGCUAGUAAUCGCGGAUCAGCAUGCCGCGGUGAAUACGUUCCCGGGCCUUGUACACACCGCCCGUCACACCAUGAGAGUCGGGAACACCCGAAGUCCGUAGCCUAACCGCAAGGGGGGGCGCGGCCGAAGGUGGGUUCGAUAAUUGGGGUGAAGUCGUAACAAGGUACC
RNAcentral lists this ribosomal RNA (203 nucleotides) under uncultured bacterium. RNAcentral describes it as "partial 16S ribosomal RNA". It matches the Rfam family "Bacterial small subunit ribosomal RNA", at positions 1299 to 1500 of the family's 1533-position model. The record is from RNAcentral.